UACCAGUGUUCAUUGACUACCUUCGCC
Molecule: non-coding RNA, 27 nt
Filed under: Homo sapiens (human)
Lineage: Eukaryota; Metazoa; Chordata; Mammalia; Primates; Hominidae
Source: RNAcentral